This is a long non-coding RNA of Phyllostomus discolor (pale spear-nosed bat), 1064 nucleotides long. RefSeq lists it as uncharacterized. NCBI's taxonomy places the organism in Eukaryota, Metazoa, Chordata, Mammalia, Chiroptera, Phyllostomidae. The record is from RefSeq and is a predicted model, not a curated record. The transcript is spliced from 4 exons.
AGUUUCAGUUCUGAACCCGCUGAGGAGCUCACAGUUGCUCUCAAAGCUGGGUCUGCGCCUCGUGGUUGCAGCAUUUCUGGUGCGUAGGCAAGCUAAUGUGGACCUUCAAGAGCUUCAAGAUGUCCUUCAGCCAGGCUUUCAACUUAUCCAGGUGCCAACAUCUCUGAGUGUGUCCGCAUGAAAGAGAGGCCACACCAGACACCAGACACAGGAAUUGAGGAAUGAAUUCUACCAUGUGAGUUGUCUUGCUUUUUGCUUUUUGCUAUGUUGGUUAGUGAGCAUAGUUUGAAUCCUAGAGGACCUGAAAAAGAUUUUUUCUCUGGAACAUUUACAAAUUAAUUACAGAAAUACAAAACUCUGUCCUUAAUUCGUCCACCUGCUUGUCUUCAGAAGAAACAGAAGAUGGAAUGACACGCAGAGGAGAAGGCCAUGUGUAGAUGGAGGCAGAGAUGGGAGUGAUGCAGCCACAAGAAAGGAAUCCCAGCAGCCACUCAGGAUGGAGAGAAAAGGAAUGGAAUCUCUCCUAGAACCUGUGGAGAAAAUGUGGUCUUGCCCAUACUUCGAUUUGGAUUUCUGACUUCCAGAACGCCAGAGAAUAACUUUUUAAAAUAUUAAGCCAUUUAAUUUGUGGAAAUUUAUUAUUUCAGCCACAAGAAACGAAUGCACUCUAUCGGUCAAAAAACAAAACAAAACAAAGCUCAUUUCCAGUACAAAUAGAGAGUUCUGUCUCCCAGUAUUAACUUCACAGCCCCUCAGUUCCUGUGGGAACCUGAUGGGACACCUAAGUGUCUGCAGGUGUCACAUCCCCAGCUGCACUGCUGCAUCCCCCGCCCUGUUCCUGCCCUGAGCCCACUGUAUUGUCUGAGACACAAGGGCAGUCACUGACUGUCUGCUCCUUCCUACCCCGAGAUGCAGGCACGUCCUGUGCAGAGGGGCUUCCCUUAUCCCUGGACACUCAUUCCUGCUGGGGAAACAGGACCCAGGCUGGACAAUGUUCUUAAAAACCAUGGCUUUUAGGGUAAGGAGUUGGUACUGUCACCUCCAAUAAAGAAUAUUUAGGGAUG